RNAcentral lists this ribosomal RNA (484 nucleotides) under uncultured bacterium. Its description in RNAcentral is "partial 16S ribosomal RNA". It matches the Rfam family "Bacterial small subunit ribosomal RNA", at positions 30 to 507 of the family's 1533-position model. The record is from RNAcentral.
AUUGAACGCUGGCGGCAUGCUUUACACAUGCAAGUCGAACGGCAGCACGGGCUUCGGCCUGGUGGCGAGUGGCGAACGGGUGAGUAAUAUAUCGGAACGUACCCAGAAGUGGGGGAUAACGUAGCGAAAGUUACGCUAAUACCGCAUACGAUCUAUGGAUGAAAGCAGGGGACCGCAAGGCCUUGUGCUCCUGGAGCGGCCGAUAUCUGAUUAGCUAGUUGGUGAGGUAAAGGCUCACCAAGGCGACGAUCAGUAGCUGGUCUGAGAGGACGACCAGCCACACUGGAACUGAGACACGGUCCAGACUCCUACGGGAGGCAGCAGUGGGGAAUUUUGGACAAUGGGCGCAAGCCUGAUCCAGCAAUGCCGCGUGAGUGAAGAAGGCCUUCGGGUUGUAAGGCUCUUUUGUCAGGGAAGAAACGGUAGAGGCUAAUAUCCUUUGCUAAUGACGGUACCUGAAGAAUAAGCACCGGCUAACUACGUG